Molecule: ribosomal RNA, 425 nt
Filed under: Hastula lanceata
Lineage: Eukaryota; Metazoa; Mollusca; Gastropoda; Neogastropoda; Terebridae
Description: partial 16S ribosomal RNA
Source: RNAcentral
UAGAAUUNUAAUGGUGGAACAGACCAAGACUUCCGCAUCAUUGGUCAACAUGAGGUCACAAACCCCCGUUNCGAUAUGAACUNUCAAGGAAGAUAAUGCUGUUAUCCCUACGGUAAUUAAUUCCGGUAAUCAUGGAUCAAAACGUAUGUGAAGGAAGCUUCUAAAGUUCCUCAGUCGCCCCAAUCAAAAUAUUCAACAGCAUCACCUUUUUUAUAGGUUACAGUUAAAUACAUUAAAUUUUUUAAAGCUCGAUAGGGUGUUAGGGUCUUUUAAUAAAAUAUAGGCUUUUUCACCUAAAAAUAAAAUUNUAAUAAAUCAAUAAAGAGACANGNACAUUNUGGUCAAACCAUUCAUCCUACCCUUCAGCUAUAAGGCAAANGGCAAUGGUACCUUUGCCCGGUCAGAGUACAGCGGCCGUUAAAGAA